This 121-nucleotide unclassified non-coding RNA is filed under the name uncultured fungus. RNAcentral describes it as "sequence contains ITS1". The record is from RNAcentral. Lineage: Eukaryota; Fungi.
CAGUGGUAGGCUUCGGCCUCAUUCACACCCCCUUGUGUAACCUCUGGUUUCUUUGGCGAUGUCGCUCGUCAAACUUUUAACUCUGAGAAUGUGGUACUGUCCGAGUGCGAUUGAAUUAUCA